GACGGAGGGUGCAAGCGUUGUUCGGAAUUACUGGGCGUAAAGCGCGUGCAGGUGGCCUUUUAAGUCCUUUGUGAAAUUCCGGAGCUCAACUCCGGAUGUGCAUAGGAUACUGGAAGGCUAGAGACUGGUAGAGGCGAGCGGAAUUCCUGGUGUAGCGGUGGAAUGCGUAGAUAUCAGGAAGAACACCGAUGGCGAAGGCAGCCUUCUGGGCCAACACUGACGCUCAUGCACGAAAGCGUGGGGAGCAAACAGG
RNAcentral lists this ribosomal RNA (253 nucleotides) under uncultured bacterium. Its description in RNAcentral is "partial 16S ribosomal RNA". It matches the Rfam family "Bacterial small subunit ribosomal RNA", at positions 524 to 776 of the family's 1533-position model. The record is from RNAcentral.